Molecule: transfer RNA, 67 nt
Filed under: Cryphalus piceae
Lineage: Eukaryota; Metazoa; Arthropoda; Insecta; Coleoptera; Curculionidae
Description: tRNA-Gln
Source: RNAcentral
UAUGUUUUAGUAUAAUUGUACGUAAGUUUUUGAUACUUAAAGUGUUGGGGAGAUCCAGUAAAUGUAA